UACGUAGGGGGCUAGCGUUGUCCGGAAUCAUUGGGCGUAAAGCGCGUGUAGGCGGCCCGGUAAGUCCGCUGUGAAAGUCGGGGGCUCAACCCUCGGAUGCCGGUGGAUACUGUCGGGCUAGAGUGCGGAAGAGGCGAGUGGAAUUCCUGGUGUAGCGGUGAAAUGCGCAGAUAUCAGGAGGAACACCGAUGGCGAAGGCAGCCCCCUGGGUCGACACUGACGCUCAUGCACGAAAGCGUGGGGAGCAAACAGG
RNAcentral lists this ribosomal RNA (253 nucleotides) under uncultured bacterium. RNAcentral's name for it is "partial 16S ribosomal RNA". It matches the Rfam family "Bacterial small subunit ribosomal RNA", at positions 524 to 776 of the family's 1533-position model. The record is from RNAcentral.